CUGCGCGUUGAAGUCGAUUAAAGCAUUUUAAAUAUUAAAGUUAAAUCUAGGUAUAGUGCAAUUUCUCCGUUAGCGUGCGUUCUGUAUUCGAAUGGUAGACUUAAAAUAAUUGCCUUUAAAAUAUUUCAACUUUAAUGGUGGAAAAUUCAAUUUGAAUGUGUUGCGUCCUGGCACGACCGAUUAAAGCUAAAGACGGAAUUUUAAGCCUAUUUGGUUGAGUAAGAUUAACGGAUUAAAGGACUCGUCGACUAUAAGGACUUCCACAACUUGUGGACUUGUCAGAUUCAGCUAAAUCUGUAGCUUUCAAGGAAAAAAACAAAUCAAUAUUGUUGGUACCUAGUUGACCCACAUAUCCUUGGUUAUUCCAUACAAUGGAUAUAGUCCUAGUGAACCUAGAGGACCGAAUUUUAGCAAAUGCCCAAGAAUAUGGUCCAAAAAUAUGUAUGCUUUUUCAGCCUGGUUUCAGCCUUGGUUCCUAGUUGACUGUCAUAUCCUUGGUUCUACCAUACCAUCGAUAUAGCCCUUGGCAACCUACAACAAAUCCCUGCGAAAUUUGCAUUGAAAUGAUCCAAAAGCAUUUAUUUUUCUUUCAGCAGCGCCUGUAAAUAACCAGCAGCUGCAGCUGCUAAUUAACAGCCGAUCUUACAGCACUCGUUUUACAUUAACUGCUGUUUAACAUAACUCAUUUUAAAUGAGUUACAUUUUUGCCCUUACGCGUAUGCAACACAAAUUUUUAUUCGAAAAUAUUCGGCGACCUUCUGAGCAUUUCUGUUCGCCUGGUACUUCAGCAAAUUUGGGGACCCAGCCGCCGACGAGGGCGCCCCUUUCGGGUAUGCAACAGAAAAUUUUUGGACGCUGAAAAAUUUUGUCGACCUUCUAGACAAUUCUGUUUGCCUGGUAUUUCAGCAGAAUUUCAGAAGCCGGCGCCUUUAACGGACAGAUUUUUAACGACAGUUGAUUUUUGAAUUUUUUGCAAUCCCAUAUCCUUU
Drosophila novamexicana is the source of this 989-nucleotide long non-coding RNA. RefSeq lists it as uncharacterized. The transcript has 3 exons. NCBI's taxonomy places the organism in Eukaryota, Metazoa, Arthropoda, Insecta, Diptera, Drosophilidae. The record is from RefSeq and is a predicted model, not a curated record.